GCGUAAUGAUGGCCAGGCUGUCUCCACCCGAGACUCAGUGAAAUUGAACUCGCUGUGAAGAUGCAGUGUACCCGCGGCAAGACGGAAAGACCCCGUGAACCUUUACUAUAGCUUGACACUGAACAUUGAGCCUUGAUGUGUAGGAUAGGUGGGAGGCUUUGAAGUGUGGACGCCAGUCUGCAUGGAGCCGACCUUGAAAUACCACCCUUUAAUGUUUGAUGUUCUAACGUUGACCCGUAAUCCGGGUUGCGGACAGUGUCUGGUGGGUAGUUUGACUGGGGCGGUCUCCUCCUAAAGAGUAACGGAGGAGCACGAAGGUUGGCUAAUCCUGGUCGGACAUCAGGAGGUUAGUGCAAUGGCAUAAGCCAGCUUGACUGCGAGCGUGACGGCGCGAGCAGGUGCGAAAGCAGGUCAUAGUGAUCCGGUGGUUCUGAAUGGAAGGGCCAUCGCUCAACGGAUAAAAGGUACUCCGGGGAUAACAGGCUGAUACCGCCCAAGAGUUCAUAUCGACGGCGGUGUUUGGCACCUCGAUGUCGGCUCAUCACAUCCUGGGGCUGAAGUAGGUCCCAAGGGUAUGGCUGUUCGCCAUUUAAAGUGGUACGCGAGCUGGGUUUAGAACGUCGUGAGACAGUUCGGUCCCUAUCUGCCGUGGGCGCUGGAGAACUGAGGGGGGCUGCUCCUAGUACGAGAGGACCGGAGUGGACGCAUCACUGGUGUUCGGGUUGUCAUGCCAAUGGCACUGCCCGGUAGCUAAAUGCGGAAGAGAUAAGUGCUGAAAGCAUCUAAGCACGAAACUUGCCCCGAGAUGAGUUCUCCCUGACUCCUUGAGAGUCCUGAAGGAACGUUGAAGACGACGACGUUGAUAGGCCGGGUGUGUAAGCGCAGCGAUGCGUUGAGCUAACCGGUACUAAUGAACCGUGAGG
Molecule: ribosomal RNA, 923 nt
Filed under: Escherichia coli
Lineage: Bacteria; Pseudomonadati; Pseudomonadota; Gammaproteobacteria; Enterobacterales; Enterobacteriaceae
Description: partial 23S ribosomal RNA
Rfam family: Bacterial large subunit ribosomal RNA
Source: RNAcentral